This 400-nucleotide ribosomal RNA is filed under the name uncultured bacterium. RNAcentral's name for it is "bacterial SSU rRNA". It matches the Rfam family "Bacterial small subunit ribosomal RNA", at positions 355 to 763 of the family's 1533-position model. The record is from RNAcentral.
UAGGGAAUAUUGGUAAUGGGCGAAAGCCUGAACCAGCAACGCCGCGUGUGCGAUGAAGGCCUUCGGGUUGUAAGAGCUACUUUUGGAGGGAUGAGGUAGGACACGUACCCUCAGAAUAAGUCUCGGCUAACUACGUGCCAGCAGCCGGCGGUAACACGGUAGGAGACAAGCGUUACUCGGUAUUUACGUGGGACGUAAAGCGCGUGCAGGCGGUCUGGUAAGUUGGAUGUGAAAGCUCCUGGCUCAACGUGGGAGAGGUCGUUCAAUACUGUCAGACUAGAGAGUGGGAGAGGGAGGUGGAAGUUCCGGGUGUAGUGGUGAAAUGCGUAGAUAUCCGGAGGAACACCAGUGGCGAAAGCGGCCUCCUGGCCCAUUUCUGACGCUUAGACGCGAAAGCUAG